Molecule: ribosomal RNA, 253 nt
Filed under: uncultured bacterium
Lineage: Bacteria
Description: partial 16S ribosomal RNA
Rfam family: Bacterial small subunit ribosomal RNA
Source: RNAcentral
UACGUAGGGUGCAAGCGUUGUCCGGAAUUAUUGGGCGUAAAGGGCUCGUAGGCGGUCCAUCGCGUCGGGAGUGAAAAGCUGGGGCUUAACCCCAGUCCUGCUUCCGAUACGGGUGGACUAGAGGUAGGCAGGGGAGAACGGAAUUCCUGGUGUAGCGGUGAAAUGCGCAGAUAUCAGGAGGAACACCGGUGGCGAAGGCGGUUCUCUAGUACGGUACUGACGCUGAGACGCGAAAGCGUGGGGAGCGAACAGG